RNAcentral lists this ribosomal RNA (1426 nucleotides) under Rhinella tenrec. RNAcentral describes it as "partial 16S ribosomal RNA". It matches the Rfam family "Bacterial large subunit ribosomal RNA", at positions 260 to 2610 of the family's 2925-position model. The record is from RNAcentral. Lineage: Eukaryota; Metazoa; Chordata; Amphibia; Anura; Bufonidae.
GCCGAAAAUCCAACCCAACUUUAUACACUUAAAUCAAAAUACUUUUCCCCCCCCCAUAAACCAUUUUAACAUUAUAGUAAAGGAGAUUGAAAAAUUAUUGGAGUUUUAACAAUAGUACCGCAAGGGAAAAAUGAAAUAUUAUGAAAAAUUCUUAAGCAAUAAAAAGUAAAGAUUACCUCUUGUACCUUUUGCAUCAUGGUUCAACUAGUUUAAUCAAGCAAAACGUAUUUUAGUUUGACCCCCCGAAACUUAGUGAGCUACUUCAGGACAGCUAAGGAGCAAACCCGUCUCUGUAGCAAAAGAGUGGGACGAUCCCCAAGUAGCGGUGACAAACCUAACGAACCGAGUGAUAGCUGGUUACUCAAGAAAAGGAUAUUAGUCCAACCUGAAACCUCUACAGUAACUAAAACACUACUUUAUUUUCAGCGUAAUUCAAAUAAGGUACAGCCUAUUUGAAACAGGAAACAACCUAAUUUAAAGGAUAAGACUGGCUCUUGUACAACCCAGUAGGCCUAAAAGCAGCCAUCUUUCAAACAGCGUCAAAGCUUAAUUGUAACAAUGCCUAAUUUCACUAACCCCACCCCAAUCCUUUAUCAAUAUUGAGUAAUUCUAUAACAUUAUAGAAAAUUUUAUGUUAAAACUAGUAACAAGAAGAGACUUUCUCUUGAAUGUAAAUAUAAAUCAGAAAGGACAAGCCACUGAUACUUAACAUCACUGAACCCAAAGUAGAAACUCACCAAGAAAACCCUACUUUUAUCUAUGUUAACCUAACACAAGAACAUUACAAGAAAGAUUAAAAGAAAAAGAAGGAACUCGGCAAAUAUUAACCUCGCCUGUUUACCAAAAACAUCGCCUCUUGAGUUCUAUAAGAGGUCCAGCCUGCCCAGUGACUUUGUUCAACGGCCGCGGUAUCCUAACCGUGCGAAGGUAGCGUAAUCACUUGUUCUUUAAAUAAGGACUCGUAUGAAUGGCAUCACGAGGGUUAUACUGUCUCCUUUUUCUAAUCAGUGAAACUAAUCUCCCCGUGAAGAAGCGGGAAUAUUAAUAUAAGACGAGAAGACCCUAUGGAGCUUAAAAUUACCCAACAUUUGCUUAACUAUAAAAAUUUUCAGAAUCUUUAUUUUUACAGGCAAUAUGAUUGUAAAUUUUUGGUUGGGGUGACCGCGGAGGACAACAUAACCUCCAUGUUGAAAAAGCUUCUUCUUAGCUCAGACCCACUAGUCAAAGCAUCAACACACUGACAUUCAUUGAUCCAAUAUAGUUGACCAACGAACCAAGUUACCCUAGGGAUAACAGCGCAAUCUACUUUGAGAGCUCCUAUCGACAAGUAGGUUUACGACCUCGAUGUUGGAUCAGGGUAUCCCAGUGGUGUAGCCGCUACUAAAGGUUCGUUUGUUCAACGAUUAAAACCCUACGUGAUCUGAGU